Molecule: long non-coding RNA, 270 nt
Organism: Sinocyclocheilus anshuiensis
Lineage: Eukaryota; Metazoa; Chordata; Actinopteri; Cypriniformes; Cyprinidae
Exons: 3
Source: RefSeq, a predicted model, not a curated record
AAUUGUCACACAGACAGACUGAUCCAGCCUUGCUGACAAAUUGGACUUUUGUGUGACCAAUGUUCUGUGUCUUUGUGGGGUUUUACAGUCAAUGCGCGCUGCUUGUGAAGACAUAUGUUCUUCCAGUUUUCUUCAAGAGGAUAAUGCCAUGAGGCUGUUCCAUUUCUGUCAGCUUUGGACAUGGAUCAGUGGCUUUGUGUUUUCCCAUCACCACAAAGAUGAAUAAACAACACGGAAAAGAGAUGUGGAAGAUGACAGACACAAGAGAAU